Dreissena polymorpha is the source of this 619-nucleotide long non-coding RNA. RefSeq lists it as uncharacterized. The transcript is spliced from 4 exons. Lineage: Eukaryota; Metazoa; Mollusca; Bivalvia; Myida; Dreissenidae. The record is from RefSeq and is a predicted model, not a curated record.
UAAAUGUGUUUCACGAUAUGAUUUAUUGUUAUAAACAAGGUCGAUUGAAGAUCGAUAGGAAAGAUCAACCUUAUGUUUAAGAUUACCAAUAUAAACCUCUGAAGAACAAGAUAGAUAGUGUGUAUUGACUUCGAUAUUGUAAAGUUGAUUAUAUUUUGAACAAGGAAGUGGAAUAGUUGGAAGCUCUGCUAAAGUGAUCUAUACAUGCAGCGGACCGGAGCUAUUUGAACACAUUUGAUAGAGGGUCGUCCGAUUAUCCUUUCCUGUGAAGUUUUGUUAAAAUCUGCAUACCGAAUAAGGAGAUGUCUUUUGCAUGAAAAGUUGACGCAAGACGGACGACCUACGACUGGCAAAAGGCAGACCCAAAUUAACUACACCUUCGUAUUGAACAAAUUUUUAUCAACAUGGGCAACAGUUCAGGAAAAGGGGGCAAUUUCAAACGUGAUAAACGGGAUGAAGGUACAGGGCAUGUCCCUACGAUACAAGCUGAUGGAAGGACCGCAAUACCAGAUGAUUCUACAAAAAUGCCUGAACCAAGACCAAAAAAGCCGAAGGAUCUUCCAGAUCCAGCAUUAGGAUCGUCCCAGUCUGGUCGCGAAUAAAACUCUGCCAUUUUAUA